GGGUUGUGAGGUUAAGCGACUAAGCGUACACGGUGGAUGCCCUGGCAGUCAGAGGCGAUGAAGGACGUGCUAAUCUGCGAUAAGCGUCGGUAAGGUGAUAUGAACCGUUAUAACCGGCGAUUUCCGAAUGGGGAAACCCAGUGUGUUUCGACACACUAUCAUUAACUGAAUCCAUAGGUUAAUGAGGCGAACCGGGGGAACUGAAACAUCUAAGUACCCCGAGGAAAAGAAAUCAACCGAGAUUCCCCCAGUAGCGGCGAGCGAACGGGGAGGAGCCCAGAGCCUGAAUCAGUGUGUGUGUUAGUGGAAGCGUCUGGAAAGGCGCGCGAUACAGGGUGACAGCCCCGUACACAAAAAUGCACAUAUUGUGAGCUCGAUGAGUAGGGCGGGACACGUGGUAUCCUGUCUGAAUAUGGGGGGACCAUCCUCCAAGGCUAAAUACUCCUGACUGACCGAUAGUGAACCAGUACCGUGAGGGAAAGGCGAAAAGAACCCCGGCGAGGGGAGUGAAAAAGAACCUGAAACCGUGUACGUACAAGCAGUGGGAGCACGCUUCGGCGUGUGACUGCGUACCUUUUGUAUAAUGGGUCAGCGACUUAUAUUCUGUAGCAAGGUUAACCGAAUAGGGGAGCCGAAGGGAAACCGAGUCUUAACUGGGCGUUAAGUUGCAGGGUAUAGACCCGAAACCCGGUGAUCUAGCCAUGGGCAGGUUGAAGGUUGGGUAACACUAACUGGAGGACCGAACCGACUAAUGUUGAAAAAUUAGCGGAUGACUUGUGGCUGGGGGUGAAAGGCCAAUCAAACCGGGAGAUAGCUGGUUCUCCCCGAAAGCUAUUUAGGUAGCGCCUCGUGAAUUCAUCUCCGGGGGUAGAGCACUGUUUCGGCAAGGGGGUCAUCCCGACUUACCAACCCGAUGCAAACUGCGAAUACCGGAGAAUGUUAUCACGGGAGACACACGGCGGGUGCUAACGUCCGUCGUGAAGAGGGAAACAACCCAGACCGCCAGCUAAGGUCCCAAAGUCAUGGUUAAGUGGGAAACGAUGUGGGAAGGCCCAGACAGCCAGGAUGUUGGCUUAGAAGCAGCCAUCAUUUAAAGAAAGCGUAAUAGCUCACUGGUCGAGUCGGCCUGCGCGGAAGAUGUAACGGGGCUAAACCAUGCACCGAAGCUGCGGCAGCGACACUAUGUGUUGUUGGGUAGGGGAGCGUUCUGUAAGCCUGUGAAGGUGUACUGUGAGGUAUGCUGGAGGUAUCAGAAGUGCGAAUGCUGACAUAAGUAACGAUAAAGCGGGUGAAAAGCCCGCUCGCCGGAAGACCAAGGGUUCCUGUCCAACGUUAAUCGGGGCAGGGUGAGUCGACCCCUAAGGCGAGGCCGAAAGGCGUAGUCGAUGGGAAACAGGUUAAUAUUCCUGUACUUGGUGUUACUGCGAAGGGGGGACGGAGAAGGCUAUGUUGGCCGGGCGACGGUUGUCCCGGUUUAAGCGUGUAGGCUGGUUUUCCAGGCAAAUCCGGAAAAUCAAGGCUGAGGCGUGAUGACGAGGCACUACGGUGCUGAAGCAACAAAUGCCCUGCUUCCAGGAAAAGCCUCUAAGCAUCAGGUAACAUCAAAUCGUACCCCAAACCGACACAGGUGGUCAGGUAGAGAAUACCAAGGCGCUUGAGAGAACUCGGGUGAAGGAACUAGGCAAAAUGGUGCCGUAACUUCGGGAGAAGGCACGCUGAUAUGUAGGUGAAGUCCCUCGCGGAUGGAGCUGAAAUCAGUCGAAGAUACCAGCUGGCUGCAACUGUUUAUUAAAAACACAGCACUGUGCAAACACGAAAGUGGACGUAUACGGUGUGACGCCUGCCCGGUGCCGGAAGGUUAAUUGAUGGGGUCAGCGCAAGCGAAGCUCUUGAUCGAAGCCCCGGUAAACGGCGGCCGUAACUAUAACGGUCCUAAGGUAGCGAAAUUCCUUGUCGGGUAAGUUCCGACCUGCACGAAUGGCGUAAUGAUGGCCAGGCUGUCUCCACCCGAGACUCAGUGAAAUUGAACUCGCUGUGAAGAUGCAGUGUACCCGCGGCAAGACGGAAAGACCCCGUGAACCUUUACUAUAGCUUGACACUGAACAUUGAGCCUUGAUGUGUAGGAUAGGUGGGAGGCUUUGAAGUGUGGACGCCAGUCUGCAUGGAGCCGACCUUGAAAUACCACCCUUUAAUGUUUGAUGUUCUAACGUGGACCCGUGAUCCGGGUUGCGGACAGUGUCUGGUGGGUAGUUUGACUGGGGCGGUCUCCUCCUAAAGAGUAACGGAGGAGCACGAAGGUUGGCUAAUCCUGGUCGGACAUCAGGAGGUUAGUGCAAUGGCAUAAGCCAGCUUGACUGCGAGCGUGACGGCGCGAGCAGGUGCGAAAGCAGGUCAUAGUGAUCCGGUGGUUCUGAAUGGAAGGGCCAUCGCUCAACGGAUAAAAGGUACUCCGGGGAUAACAGGCUGAUACCGCCCAAGAGUUCAUAUCGACGGCGGUGUUUGGCACCUCGAUGUCGGCUCAUCACAUCCUGGGGCUGAAGUAGGUCCCAAGGGUAUGGCUGUUCGCCAUUUAAAGUGGUACGCGAGCUGGGUUUAGAACGUCGUGAGACAGUUCGGUCCCUAUCUGCCGUGGGCGCUGGAGAACUGAGGGGGGCUGCUCCUAGUACGAGAGGACCGGAGUGGACGCAUCACUGGUGUUCGGGUUGUCAUGCCAAUGGCACUGCCCGGUAGCUAAAUGCGGAAGAGAUAAGUGCUGAAAGCAUCUAAGCACGAAACUUGCCCCGAGAUGAGUUCUCCCUGACCCUUUAAGGGUCCUGAAGGAACGUUGAAGACGACGACGUUGAUAGGCCGGGUGUGUAAGCGCAGCGAUGCGUUGAGCUAACCGGUACUAAUGAACCGUGAGGCUUAACCUUACAACGCCGAAG
This 2924-nucleotide ribosomal RNA is filed under the name Escherichia coli. RNAcentral describes it as "23S ribosomal RNA". It matches the Rfam family "Bacterial large subunit ribosomal RNA". Lineage: Bacteria; Pseudomonadati; Pseudomonadota; Gammaproteobacteria; Enterobacterales; Enterobacteriaceae. The record is from RNAcentral.